Long non-coding RNA from Saccostrea cuccullata (small rock oyster), 852 nucleotides. RefSeq lists it as uncharacterized. The record is from RefSeq and is a predicted model, not a curated record. The transcript is spliced from 3 exons. NCBI's taxonomy places the organism in Eukaryota, Metazoa, Mollusca, Bivalvia, Ostreida, Ostreidae.
AGAGAGAGAGAGAGAGAGAGAGAGAGAGAGAGAGAGAGAGAGAGAGAGAGAGAGAGCACUCGCGCUCACCGACUUGUGGGGAACUCACACCUGACAAAGGACCUUUCUUAUGGGGAAAGUUCAGAAUUGUGGGGAACUCUCUCGUUCCCCACAAAUAUGGUCAUGGGGUUUUUUGAAUUCUACGUGUUCUACUGAUAAUAUUUAUUCGAUUUGUGGUCAUUUUUUAAAAAAUCCCCAUAAGUCCGUAAAAUUGACUCGCAGUAAUUUUCUCACUGCACCGUAAAACGAAUGUUUGAGGAUGCUGGGAAAUGUUCAUUCGGAACGCAGCGGAAUUUAAACUGGUCCCCAUAUGAUACCAAUUUAUUGCGGGCAAUGGCUGCUCCGAGAAUAUGUGGCCUAAUGGCUAUCCUGUAAGAACAAACUACGGAUUUAUAUGAAUUCAGCACCCCCGGGAUAUGGUUUUCGGGUUUUCACCACAAGAGCAAAUUAUACAACUUUAUUCUUGAAAAUGUUAGAGACUGAGACUUGGAGUCAAAGUCAACAGACACGCUUGCAUGGACAUGAAGGAUGUAAAGAACUAGAGUAUUAUAACUGAAAGCAUUUUGUCUGGAUUUGUGUAUGGAAACAGAAGGAUUUAGUAUUGGUAAGUCAAGAUAGCUGUAAAAUCUCAUUUUGAACUCUAUAUGUGAGCAGUACUGUAAACCAACUACCAGGUAGUACACAUGUACCCUAUUUGUGUCAUCUUUUAUUUGCAUAUCUAAUCUGUGUUGAUUAAUUUCCGUGACUAAUGAAAGGAAACAUUCUCUACAAAUAUAAAGCAAAAUUAAUAGUUCAGGGCAAUUAAUAAUUUAC